This is a long non-coding RNA of Bufo gargarizans (Asiatic toad), 744 nucleotides long. RefSeq lists it as uncharacterized. The record is from RefSeq and is a predicted model, not a curated record. NCBI's taxonomy places the organism in Eukaryota, Metazoa, Chordata, Amphibia, Anura, Bufonidae. The transcript is spliced from 5 exons.
AGAUGAAAUAAGCUUUGCUGUGUAAAUGUAGAGCUGAAUGCAGCAUGACUGACAGCACCAGACAGACCAUUAUAGGCAAUCAGCUCCACAAUGAGAGAUUUAGGCUGUUGAAGUGGAAGUAUUGAAAAAAAGCUUCCAUCAUCCAACAUCAAAGAUGGAAAGAAAAUGACAAUGUGACUGCCAGAGCUGAUUGAAGAUAGUGAUGCCUUAUAGUGAACUGCCUGCUACAAACCCAAGGGAAACUAUAAGGGUUCUCCGAGACUGGAAACCAAUGGUUUGGGGACAAUAUUCCUGCAAAGGUCACUGGAAAGACCAUCUAUUGGCUGACAGCAGUGACGUAGAUGUAAACAACAUGUCAAACUUGUGGUCCAGCGGGGACCCCAGAUGGUGAAGAUGGGAGCUCGGCGCUGGACCUGGAAUGUUCUGAGCAGAAAUCGAGACUCAUCAGACCAGGCAACAUUUUUCCAGUCUUCAACAGUCCAAUUUUGACACCACGAGGAGAUGGCGGCACGGAUGGAUGGAAAUGGAGUGCAUCAGCAUCUGUUUACUCGGCUGUCUCCCUCUUCUCAUAACGGUGAUGUAUUUACAGAAAACUUCCGCUUCAGAUGAUCUUUAAAAGAAUCCAGCACAUUUCCUCCUAAAGAAACUGAGUAAAUGUUUAAAGGGGUUUUUGGAGACUUUACUACUGAUAGGUCGUCAGUAUCUGAUCGGUGGGGGUCCGACCCCCGCCGAUCAGUUGUUUGA